CAUGUAGGUGGAUCAAUUAGUCUGCUGUGAAAGUCGAAGGCUCAACCUUCGAAAGCCGGUGGAUACUGUUGAUCUAGAGUACGGAAGAGGCGAGUGGAAUUCCUGGUGUAGCGGUGGAAUGCGCAGAUAUCAGGAGGAACACCAAUAGCGAAGGCAGCUCGCUGGGACGUAACUGACACUGAGGCGCGAAAGCAGGGGAGCAAACA
RNAcentral lists this ribosomal RNA (206 nucleotides) under uncultured bacterium. Its description in RNAcentral is "partial 16S ribosomal RNA". It matches the Rfam family "Bacterial small subunit ribosomal RNA", at positions 568 to 774 of the family's 1533-position model. The record is from RNAcentral.